GUCGUCGUGACCGAGUGGUUAAGGCGACAGACUCGAAAUCUUUUGGGCUCUGCCAGCACAGGUUCGAAACCUGUCGGCGACG
This is a non-coding RNA of Ciona intestinalis (vase tunicate), 82 nucleotides long. NCBI's taxonomy places the organism in Eukaryota, Metazoa, Chordata, Ascidiacea, Phlebobranchia, Cionidae. The record is from Rfam.